CAAUAGCGUAUACUAAAGUUGUUGCAGUUAAAAAGCUCGUAGUUGGAUUUCUGGUCGAAGCAGCCGCUCGGCUUCUAGUAAGUUUGUAGCAGGCGCUUCGUCCAUUUUUGUAAAGACUAUGUCUGUCAUUAAGUUGGUGGACAUAGGACUUGCAUCAUUUACUGUGAGCAAAAUAGAGUGUUCAAAGCAGGCUUAGGCCAUGAAUAUCUUAGCAUGGAAUAAUAAGAUAAGACCUUGGUCUAUUUUGUUGGUUAGCAUUCCGAGGUAAUGAUUAAUAGGGAUAGUUGGGGGUAUUCGUAUUCAAUUGUCAGAGGUGAAAUUCUUGGAUUUAUUGAAGACGAACUACUGCGAAAGCAUUUACCAAGGAUGUUUUCAUUGA
RNAcentral lists this ribosomal RNA (379 nucleotides) under uncultured eukaryote. RNAcentral describes it as "partial 18S ribosomal RNA". It matches the Rfam family "Eukaryotic small subunit ribosomal RNA", at positions 592 to 976 of the family's 1831-position model. The record is from RNAcentral.